RNAcentral lists this long non-coding RNA (957 nucleotides) under Homo sapiens (human). RNAcentral's name for it is "HSALNT0072058". Lineage: Eukaryota; Metazoa; Chordata; Mammalia; Primates; Hominidae. The record is from RNAcentral.
UCAGUCUUUCUAAACCAAAGACUUAUUUAGAAUCACACUUUAAAACAAAUUUUUCUUUUAGAAAAUACUUUUGUCUGAAAGGCACAUUCAGUUACACUUUUUGUUUGAUUUUACAAAUAAGUUGCUUGUAUCAUGGGAUACUUUGCUGGAAAACUUUCUUAUGUGAAAACUUGCCAAGAGAAAUUCAAGAAACUUGAAAAUUCCCCCCUUGGAGAAGCUUUACGAUCAGGACAAGCACGACGAUCUUCACCACCUGGGCACUAUUAUCAAAAGUCAAAAUAUGACUCAAGUGUGAGUGGUCAAUCAUCUUUUGUGACAUCCCCAGCAGCAGACAACAUAGAAAUGCUUCCUCAUUAUGAGCCAAUUCCAUUCAGUUCUUCUAUGAAUGAAUCUGCUCCCACUGGUAUUACUGAUCAUAUUGUCCAAGGUAGAAACUUCUCUUGAAAUGAAUUUCAACAUUUUAUGGUCCAACGUAUGUAUAAACUUUAUUUGAUGACCUUUUCUGCUGGAUAUCACCUGUGUGUUCUACCAUCAAUCAUCAACCUAAACUCAGCAUGUUUGUUCAUUUGUUUCUUCAUUCAUUCAACUUUUCUUGAGGACCAGUAGGUGUCAAGGACUCUGCUAGACGUGGAAGAAGAUGAAUAACACUUGGUUCUUGUCCCUGAAAAACUUUCAGUCUGUUAGAAGAUAUAGAAAUACAAGGAUGAAUUACUAGUAUGUCCCAGUAAUUGAAAAUACUAAGGCAAGCUUAGUGGAAUAGUGAAGAAGAAAUGAUAAAUCGUGUCUCAGGAAGUAGAGCUCCAGGAAAGGUAUAAAAAGGUUACAUUUGAUAGGCUGGGUUUUAAAGGCUUUCAGCUUCCCUGUCUGUAAUACAAGAAAGAACUGUUGUCAAGUGAGAAAAUCCAUGUGAAAAUGCUUUGUGAAGUUUGUAAAUACUAGCUUUGAAGAUCACACAUG